AUAUGCUUGUCUCAAAGAUUAAGCCAUGCAUGUCUCAGUACAAGCCAAAUUAAGGUGAAACCGCGAAAGGCUCAUUAAAUCAGUUAUGGUUCCUUAGAUCGUACCCACAUUUACUUGGAUAACUGUGGUAAUUCUAGAGCUAAUACAUGCAAACAGAGCUCCAACCGGAGACGGAAGGAGUGCUUUUAUUAGAACAAAACCAAUCGGCGGCGUGUUCGCUUGCGUUCACGUUCGCCGCCCAACUUGGUGACUCUGAAUAACUUUAUGCUGAUCGCACGGUCUUGCACCGGCGACGCAUCUUUCAAAUGUCUGCCUUAUCAACUGUCGAUGGUAGGUUCUGCGCCUACCAUGGUUGUAACGGGUAACGGGGAAUCAGGGUUCGAUUCCGGAGAGGGAGCCUGAGAAACGGCUACCACAUCCAAGGAAGGCAGCAGGCGCGCAAAUUACCCACUCCCGGCACGGGGAGGUAGUGACGAAAAAUAACGAUACGGGACUCAUCCGAGGCCCCGUAAUCGGAAUGAGUACACUUUAAAUCCUUUAACGAGGAUCAAUUGGAGGGCAAGUCUGGUGCCAGCAGCCGCGGUAAUUCCAGCUCCAAUAGCGUAUAUUAAAGUUGUUGCGGUUAAAAAGCUCGUAGUUGAAUCUGUGUCCCGCGCUGUCGGUUCACCGCCCGCGGUGUUUAACUGGCACGAUCGCGGGACGUCCUGCCGGUGGAUGUGUGUGUCAGUGCAUUUCGGUGUAUCUGCUCCGCAUCCGACUCAACAAAUCCUGUCGCGGUGCUCUUAAUUGAGUGUCGAGGCGGGCCGGCACGUUUACUUUGAACAAAUUAGAGUGCUCAAAGCAGGCUAAAAUUACGCCUGAAUACUGUGUGCAUGGAAUAAUGGAACAGGACCUCGGUUCUAUUUUGUUGGUUUUCGGAACCCCGAGGUAAUGAUUAAUAGGGACAGAUGGGGGCAUUCGUAUUGCGACGUUAGAGGUGAAAUUCUUGGAUCGUCGCAAGACGGACAGAAGCGAAAGCAUUUGCCAAAAAUGUUUUCAUUAAUCAAGAACGAAAGUCAGAGGUUCGAAGGCGAUCAGAUACCGCCCUAGUUCUGACCAUAAACGAUGCCAGCUAGCGAUCCGCCGACGUUCCUCCGAUGACUCGGCGGGCAGCUUCCGGGAAACCAAAGCUUUUGGGUUCCGGGGGAAGUAUGGUUGCAAAGCUGAAACUUAAAGGAAUUGACGGAAGGGCACCACCAGGAGUGGAGCCUGCGGCUUAAUUUGACUCAACACGGGAAACCUCACCAGGCCCGGACACCGGAAGGAUUGACAGAUUGAGAGCUCUUUCUUGAUUCGGUGGGUGGUGGUGCAUGGCCGUUCUUAGUUGGUGGAGCGAUUUGUCUGGUUAAUUCCGAUAACGAACGAGACUCUAGCCUGCUAACUAGGCGUACUUUCCGGUAUCUCGAAGGCCAACGUCUCUCGGGUUUCCGUUUGGCGCGCAGUUUGCGCAUCGUUUCGGCGGUGUUGCGGCUGUGUGUCGUGCGGUCCGGGAGUUCGUGGUUUUUACUACCGGCGUACAAUUGAAUCUUCUUAGAGGGACAGGCGGCUCCUAGCCGCACGAGAUUGAGCAAUAACAGGUCUGUGAUGCCCUUAGAUGUUCUGGGCCGCACGCGCGCUACACUGAAGGAAUCAGCGUGUCCUCCCUGGCCGAACGGUCCGGGUAACCCGCUGAACCUCCUUCGUGCUAGGGAUUGGGGCUUGCAAUUGUUCCCCAUGAACGAGGAAUUCCCAGUAAGCGCGAGUCAUAAGCUCGCGUUGAUUACGUCCCUGCCCUUUGUACACACCGCCCGUCGCUACUACCGAUUGAAUGAUUUAGUGAGGUCUUCGGACUGGUACGCGGCGGCGUUUCGACAUCGCCGAUGUCGCUGGGAAGAUGACCAAACUUGAUCAUUUAGAGGAAGUAAAAGUCGUA
This 1951-nucleotide ribosomal RNA is filed under the name Carabus latreilleanus. RNAcentral's name for it is "SSU rRNA". It matches the Rfam family "Eukaryotic small subunit ribosomal RNA". The record is from RNAcentral. Lineage: Eukaryota; Metazoa; Arthropoda; Insecta; Coleoptera; Carabidae.